Non-coding RNA from Agrilus planipennis (emerald ash borer), 120 nucleotides. Lineage: Eukaryota; Metazoa; Arthropoda; Insecta; Coleoptera; Buprestidae. The record is from Rfam.
GCCUUCCUUGUCAAGGGGAGCAGAGUGCGUCAAUGAACGUAUAGUGAGACCACUUAUGCUGACACCCUGUAUAUAUAUCCGCACCCACAUCAUUAGUGACUGAGUGCAAUUUUUGGAAUG